Molecule: ribosomal RNA, 468 nt
Filed under: uncultured bacterium
Lineage: Bacteria
Description: partial 16S ribosomal RNA
Rfam family: Bacterial small subunit ribosomal RNA
Source: RNAcentral
GACGAACGCUGGCGGCGUGCUUAACACAUGCAAGUCGAACGGAAAGGCCCUGCUUUUGUGGGGUGCUCGAGUGGCGAACGGGUGAGUAACACGUGAGUAACCUGCCCUUGACUUUGGGAUAACUUCAGGAAACUGGGGCUAAUACCGGAUAGGAGCUCCUGCUACAUGGUGGUGGUUGGAAAGUUUCGGCGGUUGGGGAUGGACUCGCGGCUUAUCAGCUUGUUGGUGGGGUACUGGCUUACCAAGGCUUUGACGGGUAGCCGGCCUGAGAGGGUGAACGGCCACAUUGGGACUGAGAUACGGCCCAGACUCCUACGGGAGGCAGCAGUGGGGAAUAUUGCACAAUGGGCGGAAGCCUGAUGCAGCAACGCCGCGUGCGGGAUGACGGCCUUCGGGUUGUAAACCGCUUUCGCCUGUGACGAAGCGUGAGUGACGGUAAUGGGUAAAGAAGCACCGGCUAACUACGUG